This 253-nucleotide ribosomal RNA is filed under the name uncultured bacterium. Its description in RNAcentral is "partial 16S ribosomal RNA". It matches the Rfam family "Bacterial small subunit ribosomal RNA", at positions 524 to 776 of the family's 1533-position model. The record is from RNAcentral.
GACAGAGGGUGCAAACGUUGCUCGGAAUCACUGGGCGUAAAGCGCACGUAGGCGGAUUUGUCAGUCAGGGGUGAAAUCCCGGGGCUCAACCUCGGAACUGCCUUUGAUACAGCAAGUCUUGAGUUCGAGAGAGGUGGGUGGAAUUCCUAGUGUAGAGGUGAAAUUCGUAGAUAUUAGGAAGAACACCGGUGGCGAAGGCGGCCCACUGGCUCGAUACUGACGCUGAGGUGCGAAAGCGUGGGGAGCAAACAGG